This 490-nucleotide ribosomal RNA is filed under the name uncultured bacterium. RNAcentral's name for it is "partial 16S ribosomal RNA". It matches the Rfam family "Bacterial small subunit ribosomal RNA", at positions 30 to 507 of the family's 1533-position model. The record is from RNAcentral.
AUUGAACGCUGGCGGCAGGCCUAACACAUGCAAGUCGAACGGUAACAGGAAACAGCUUGCUGUUUCGCUGACGAGUGGCGGACGGGUGAGUCAUGUCUGGGAAACUGCCUGAUGGAGGGGGAUAACUACUGGAAACGGUAGCUAAUACCGCAUAACGUCGCAAGACCAAAGAGGGGGACCUUCGGGCCUCUUGCCAUCGGAUGUGCCCAGAUGGGAUUAGCUAGUAGGUGGGGUAACGGCUCACCUAGGCGACGAUCCCUAGCUGGUCUGAGAGGAUGACCAGCCACCCUGGAACUGAGACACGGUCCAGACUCCUACGGGAGGCAGCAGUGGGGAAUAUUGCACAAUGGGCGCAAGCCUGAUGCAGCCAUGCCGCGUGUAUGAAGAAGGCCUUCGGGUUGUAAAGUACUUUCAGCGGGGAGGAAGGGAGUAAAGUUAAUACCUUUACUCAUUGACGUUACCCGCAGAAGAAGCACCGGCUAACUACGUG